GGGGCUGUAGCUCAGUUCGGUAGAGCACUUGCUCGGCAGGCAAGGGGUCAGGGGUUCGAAUCCCCUCAGCUCCACAA
This 77-nucleotide transfer RNA is filed under the name Acidobacteriota bacterium. Its description in RNAcentral is "Acidobacteria bacterium tRNA-Ala". It matches the Rfam family "tRNA". From Rfam's summary of the family: Transfer RNA (tRNA) molecules are approximately 80 nucleotides in length. Lineage: Bacteria; Pseudomonadati; Acidobacteriota. The record is from RNAcentral.